AGAGGGAUAGCUGGGUCAAAUGGUGGCUCCAUUCCAAAUUUUCCAAAAAAUCUCAAUACUGUUUUUCAUAUUGGCUGCACCAGUUUGCAAUCCCAUGAGCAGU
RNAcentral lists this microRNA precursor (103 nucleotides) under Marmota monax (woodchuck). The record is from RNAcentral. Lineage: Eukaryota; Metazoa; Chordata; Mammalia; Rodentia; Sciuridae.